This 259-nucleotide non-coding RNA is filed under the name Bacillus sp. (in: firmicutes). RNAcentral describes it as "Bacillus sp. T-box sequence". It matches the Rfam family "T-box leader". From Rfam's summary of the family: Uncharged tRNA acts as the effector for transcription antitermination of genes in the T-box leader family. T-boxes are found upstream of many aminoacyl-tRNA synthetase genes and some amino acid biosynthetic genes usually in Gram-positive bacteria. The anticodon of a specific tRNA base pairs to a specifier sequence within the T-box motif, and the NCCA acceptor tail of the tRNA base pairs to a conserved bulge in the T-box antiterminator hairpin. The record is from RNAcentral. Lineage: Bacteria; Bacillati; Bacillota; Bacilli; Caryophanales; Bacillaceae.
GUAAAUGCAAUGAUGGGAAUAAGUAAGCUCGAUUGAAUUGCGUGCAGAGAGCCGGUGGUAGCUGCGAACCGGUGCAAGCGUCGUGCUGAAUGGGCCCCGGAGCCGAUGAACGGAAACUGGCAGCAGCCGCUGCCGAAGAUGUUUGUACGGAAGCUCCCCGUUAUGGAGCAACAAGGUUUAUGGGCUAUUUGCGCUUCGUUUCUAUAAAAGAGCGCACCAUAAACGAAUUAGGGUGGCACCACGGUCCCUCGUCCCUUGC